RNAcentral lists this transfer RNA (77 nucleotides) under Pedobacter frigoris. RNAcentral describes it as "Pedobacter sp. RP-3-15 tRNA-His". It matches the Rfam family "tRNA". Rfam says of the family: Transfer RNA (tRNA) molecules are approximately 80 nucleotides in length. Lineage: Bacteria; Pseudomonadati; Bacteroidota; Sphingobacteriia; Sphingobacteriales; Sphingobacteriaceae. The record is from RNAcentral.
GUGGUUUUAGCUCAGUUGGUUAGAGCAUCGGUUUGUGGUACCGAGGGUCGUGGGUUCGAGCCCCAUAUUCCACCCUA